UAGCUGCAGAGGUAGAAAUAAUGGCACCAGAAAUAAUAUUAAGCUUCAUCGUCGAGAGGGAAACAGCCUGGAUCACCAGCUAAGGCCCCUAAAUGACCGCUUAGUGAUAAAGGAGGUAGGGGUGUAGAGACAGUCAGGAAGUUUGCCUAGAAGCAGCCACCCUUGAAAGAGUGGGUAAUAGCUCACUGAUCGAGCGCUCUUGCGCCGAAGAUGAACGGAGCUAAGCAAUCUGCCGAAGAUGUGGGAUGUAAAAAUGCAUCG
This 261-nucleotide non-coding RNA is filed under the name Prunus persica (peach). Its description in RNAcentral is "Bacterial large subunit ribosomal RNA". It matches the Rfam family "Bacterial large subunit ribosomal RNA", at positions 951 to 1227 of the family's 2925-position model. Lineage: Eukaryota; Viridiplantae; Streptophyta; Magnoliopsida; Rosales; Rosaceae. The record is from Rfam by way of RNAcentral.